CAUCGGUGUGGUUUGGUGCAAAAUUGCACCAAUUUUCAAAAAUCGAUAACUGAAUCGAACCUUAACUGGAGGACAGAACCGCACCAAUCCCGAAGUCUCAACCGAACCAAAGAAACUGUCGGUUCUGGCCGGUUGGACCGAACCGCAUGCCUUUGUGUAUUAACCAAAUUUCCAGAUUUUCACAACCUUAAGAACACCAAAUUCAAAUAACGCCAAAUGCAACUUUAAGGCUAAAUUUCUAGAUUUUCAUAUUUUUCACUAUCAAAUAUCAAAUAUUAAUCAAAUUAAGAACACCAAAUACAAAGAAUCAAAAUAAGAACACAAUUGUUACUGUUGUGUCCCGCCGCGUGUUGCGCCGCACCCGUAGAGAGGAAGCUGUGCAGCGUCGGUGGAGGGAGGAGUUGUGCCGCGCCGGGGUUUCUGGCAGGAAAACN
Molecule: long non-coding RNA, 434 nt
Filed under: Salvia miltiorrhiza (redroot sage)
Lineage: Eukaryota; Viridiplantae; Streptophyta; Magnoliopsida; Lamiales; Lamiaceae
Description: long non-coding RNA (SMIL_LNC010103)
Source: RNAcentral